Capsicum annuum is the source of this 621-nucleotide long non-coding RNA. RefSeq lists it as uncharacterized. The record is from RefSeq and is a predicted model, not a curated record. Lineage: Eukaryota; Viridiplantae; Streptophyta; Magnoliopsida; Solanales; Solanaceae. The transcript is spliced from 2 exons.
GUCCAUCCAGUGGAGCAGGUACAUCAGGGGAAAGUACAUUUCCUUAUAUACCAAACCAAAGUACUACUGACUCAGAAAUUACCGAGGACGGUUUUCGCUGGAGAAAAUAUGGCCAUAAGGUUGUGAAGGGAAGUUCAUAUCCCAGGAGCUAUUACAGAUGCACAAGUCCUAAAUGCAGUGUGCGGAAGUUUGUUGAAAGAACCACGGAUGAUCCCAGAGCCUUUAUUACUACAUACGAGGGAAAACACAACCAUGGUGUUCCAAACAGAAGACCAAAUUCAGAGGCAUCCAAAACAAGCUCAAAAUCUUCAGCUAUGAAAGAGAAAUUAUAGUCGAUGCAAUCAGAAUAACCUCAUGCUAGCAAAAAUAAGCUAUAUACUAAUAUUAUACAAUCAAGAAGAUGGUUUAGCAAAUCGGAAAUUGAUGAAGUUAAUCUUAUUGCAGUAUUCAUUAUAUUUCCUUUGCUAAACCAUCUGAGAUCGCAAAUGCUCGGGAGUUCCUCUAUGCUAGAAGAGGCUACUAUUGAGAUCUUUUUAAGCAUCAAUAGUGUAAACAAUUGGCCUCUAAUUAGUUGAUAAUUAUCUAUGAGUCACUUGAAUUAUUGGCUAUAUGUUCAAGACA